RNAcentral lists this long non-coding RNA (976 nucleotides) under Piliocolobus tephrosceles (Ugandan red Colobus). Its description in RNAcentral is "lncRNA (ENSPTEG00000026378.1)". Lineage: Eukaryota; Metazoa; Chordata; Mammalia; Primates; Cercopithecidae. The record is from RNAcentral.
AUUAUUUACAAUUAUUAUAUAAUAAUAUAAAUUCUUGUAUUAUUUAAUAAGGAUAGAAUACAAAGACAUAUGUUACAUAUAUGUGUGAUAUAUGGUAGGUAGCACAUUAUAAAAAAUAAAUAAACACAUAUAUAUAUAUAUAUAUAUAUAUAUAUAUAUUUAUAUAUAUAGAUGUACAUUGGUUAAGCUUGAUUUGAAAUAAGUAAAAACUCUAUUAUGUAACUUAGCUUGUUAUGUAUUUUAAUUUCCUAUUAAAAUUAAGUAUAUAAGAUGAAAAAUAUAAAUGAAGAAGAUAAACACCAACAAAACAUUGAUAAAGAUAGUAAAAUAAUUGAAGUACCCGAAGAAGUAAAAAACUCUAAUAAGGAUAAACAGAAAAAGAAAGACGGUAACAAGCGAAAUGAACAAAAAAAUAAGUACUCUUCAGAUACUAGUGUUUCAAAUUUAUCAAAGGGUAUUGAGAAUGAUAUAAUAAAUAAAAAAGGAAGAAGCAACUGAAUCAACCUUUUUAAAAAAAGAUACAAACAAAAAUGAAUUUAACAAUGACAAAAUUAUGGCAGUACAAUAUAAUAAACAUACAUGUAUUCGUCUAUUGCCGAUAAUUUUUAUAUUUAUCUUAAUACUGGGAAUAUAUUUUAUAUAUAUAAUGUAUCACUGUUUACCAUUAACAUUUGUAAGUCAAAAGAAAGUAUAUGUAUUACAUAAUUUUAAGAGGGGAAUUAUAGAUCUUGUAAUUUUUCACGUUAGCUUAUUUAUGUACUUAAUUAAUUAUAUUUUAUCUAUUGUUGUAUUACCCGGAUACAUACCAAAUACAGAUGAAUGGGCGCUGAAAAAUUUUCCUGAGAAUUAUGUUAGUGAAACAGAAAAUUCCUUAUUGGAAAAAAAAAAACAGGAGAAAGAAGAUAUUGUAAAUGGUGUUCUAAAUAUAAACCGGAUAGAACUCAUCAUUGUCGUGUAUGUAAAACUUGUGUUUUAA